AACUUUAAACAAUGGAUCUCUUGGCUCUCGCAUCGAUGAAGAACGCAGCGAAAUGCGAUACGUAAUGUGAAUUGCAGAAUUCAGUGAAUCAUCGAAUCUUUGAACGCACCUUGCGCCCCUUGGUAUUCCGAGGGGCACACCCGUUUGAGUGUCGUGAAAAUCUCAACCUUCUCGGUUUCUUCUGAACACCGAAGGAGGCUUGGACUUUGGAGGCCUUUGCUGGUGUCUCUCACCAGCUCCUCUCAAAUGAAUUAGCGGGGUCCUCUUUGCCGAUCCUCGACAUGUGAUAAGAUGUUUCCAUGUCUUGGCUCUGUUGCCUUUGGGACCCGCUUCUAACCGUCUCAGCGAGACAACGUUCGAGCGUGUCUCCCCUCUCGGGGAAACACUCUUGAACCCACGAAACCUUGACCUCAAAUCGGGUGAGACUACCCGCUGAACUUAAGCAUAUCAAUAAGCGGGAGGCU
Molecule: unclassified non-coding RNA, 464 nt
Filed under: uncultured Lactarius
Lineage: Eukaryota; Fungi; Basidiomycota; Agaricomycetes; Russulales; Russulaceae
Description: sequence contains ITS2
Rfam family: 5.8S ribosomal RNA (bases 1-154)
Source: RNAcentral